Molecule: ribosomal RNA, 465 nt
Filed under: uncultured bacterium
Lineage: Bacteria
Description: partial 16S ribosomal RNA
Rfam family: Bacterial small subunit ribosomal RNA
Source: RNAcentral
CCUACGGGCGGCAGCAGUGGGGAAUCUUGCGCAAUGGGCGAAAGCCUGACGCAGCGACGCCGCGUGAUGGAUGAAGGUCUUCGGAUCGUAAACCUCUGUCAGCAGGGAAGAACGGUCACUGUGCUAAUCAUCAAUGAAUUGACGGUACCUGCAAAGGAAGCACCGGCUAACUCCGUGCCAGCAGCCGCGGUAAUACGGAGGGUGCGAGCGUUAAUCGGAAUUACUGGGCGGAAAGCGAUCGUAGGCGGUAUGUCAAGUCUAGGGUGAAAUCCUCGGGCUCAACGUGGGAAGUGCAUUUGAAACUGGGAGACUGGAGUGUGGGAGAGGAGAGUGGAAGUCCAGGUGUAGGGGUGAAAUGCGUAGAUAUCUGGAGGAACAUCAGUGGCGAAGGCGACUAUCUGGCACAUAACUGACGCUGAGGAGCGAAAGCGUGGGUAGCAAACAGGAUUAGAUACCCUAGUAGUC